GUCUCUGAUCCACCUUGAGCUCAGUGGUAGAGCGCGCCACUCGUAAUGGUGAGGUCGGUUGUUCAAUCCAGCCAGAGGGCA
Molecule: transfer RNA, 81 nt
Filed under: Plicaturopsis crispa FD-325 SS-3
Lineage: Eukaryota; Fungi; Basidiomycota; Agaricomycetes; Amylocorticiales; Amylocorticiaceae
Description: tRNA-Thr (CGT) (tRNA-Thr-CGT-2-1)
Rfam family: tRNA (bases 10-81)
About the family: Transfer RNA (tRNA) molecules are approximately 80 nucleotides in length. Their secondary structure includes four short double-helical elements and three loops (D, anti-codon, and T loops). Further hydrogen bonds mediate the characteristic L-shaped molecular structure. tRNAs have two regions of fundamental functional importance: the anti-codon, which is responsible for specific mRNA codon recognition, and the 3' end, to which the tRNAs corresponding amino acid is attached (by aminoacyl-tRNA synthetases). tRNAs cope with the degeneracy of the genetic code in two manners: having more than one tRNA (with a specific anti-codon) for a particular amino acid; and 'wobble' base-pairing, i.e. permitting non-standard base-pairing at the 3rd anti-codon position.
Source: RNAcentral